This 271-nucleotide ribosomal RNA is filed under the name Staphylococcus aureus. RNAcentral describes it as "partial 23S ribosomal RNA". It matches the Rfam family "Bacterial large subunit ribosomal RNA", at positions 716 to 985 of the family's 2925-position model. The record is from RNAcentral. Lineage: Bacteria; Bacillati; Bacillota; Bacilli; Caryophanales; Staphylococcaceae.
CGAAACCAGGUGAUCUACCCUUGGUCAGGUUGAAGUUCAGGUAACACUGAAUGGAGGACCGAACCGACUUACGUUGAAAAGUGAGCGGAUGAACUGAGGGUAGCGGAGAAAUUCCAAUCGAACCUGGAGAUAGCUGGUUCUCUCCGAAAUAGCUUUAGGGCUAGCCUCAAGUGAUGAUUAUUGGAGGUAGAGCACUGUUUGGACGAGGGGCCCCUCUCGGGUUACCGAAUUCAGACAAACUCCGAAUGCCAAUUAAUUUAACUUGGGAGUC